Molecule: unclassified non-coding RNA, 229 nt
Filed under: plant metagenome
Description: partial contains small subunit ribosomal RNA, internal transcribed spacer 1, and 5.8S ribosomal RNA
Source: RNAcentral
UCUCCGUAGGUGAACCUGCGGAGGGAUCAUUACAGAGUUCAUGCCCUAACGGGUAGAUCUCCCACCCUAUGUUAUCAUCACUUUGUUGCUUUGGCGGGCCGUCAGGCCUCGGCUUGGCUACCGGCUCUCGCUGGUAAGAGCCCGCCAGAGAACCCCAAACCCUGAAAAACAGUGUCGUCUGAGUACUAUAUAAUAGUUAAAACUUUCAACAACGGAUCUCUUGGUUCUG